CUCGAUGUCUCAACAGUACCAUCACCAAUCCUUGUUUGGGUCAAUACGACAACUGUGGGCAAAAAAAAACGCUUGUUUGGGUUCCAGAAGGUGCAAGCUCUUCGGCACCUGCUCCUGCGCAGUGCACCAAUGCCUCGGCCCUUGUUCAUGCUAGUACGCACUUCGACUCGAGCAUCAUCACACCGCGAUAUUGACCGCUUUGUACUGUACUAUACAGUCGGUGUCCGGAAAAGAGCCUUGAAAUUUGUAUUGUUUUGUUCUUCGUUUUGGGGCGAUUCUUCCGCGGGAUAACAAUAUUCCGGUAGCUUACUAAGAGCAAGUGCUGGAAAAUAAUGCG
Molecule: small RNA, 337 nt
Filed under: Histoplasma ohiense
Lineage: Eukaryota; Fungi; Ascomycota; Eurotiomycetes; Onygenales; Ajellomycetaceae
Description: hypothetical lncRNA
Source: RNAcentral